Molecule: long non-coding RNA, 495 nt
Filed under: Ananas comosus (pineapple)
Lineage: Eukaryota; Viridiplantae; Streptophyta; Magnoliopsida; Poales; Bromeliaceae
Description: long non-coding RNA (ACOM_LNC015656)
Source: RNAcentral
GAUAUCGCUCUCGUGAUUUUGCAUUUUCUCAUUUUAGUACCCCAUGGUUUAAAGUGUAUCAAGUUAGUAUUCUAUGAUUUCAUUUUUAUCUUUUCGUCAGCUUCCCCGUUAAUAUUUUUUAAAUUAUAUAUAAAAAAUAUUUCGUCAGCUUCUCUGUUAAUAUUUAGAUACUUCACCUAGAUUUAUCGAAUAUUUACUUUAGUACUUUUUAAUUUUAACUUUGCCACUGAUUUAACGAAAAAAAUUAGUGAAAUCGAUAAUAAAAAGAUAAAAAUAAAAUCGCAGAAUAUUAAAUUAAUACACUUUAAACUGCAGAAUAUUAAAGUGAAAACAUAUGAAAUCACAAAAAUAAUAAUUUAAAAAAACUUAUUUAAUAUGUAACUAUUGGAGCGUCACAAACUCGUGCAUAGCAACAAAUAAUUUUAGGCACUUGUUGGAGAAAAAGGGUACCCAAAAAAAAAAAAAAAAAAAAAAAAAAAAAAAAAAAAAAAAAAA